UCUAGGAAGAGGAAGAAAGAGAAGGCGUAAGAGUAGUGGGAAUGAGAACGUAGAGGAAACCCUAACUUUACUAGUUCUUUACCUCUUUUACUGAGGUGGAAAUUCAGUUUGGCAUUUCUCGACGCCUCUCAUUCCUAUUAUUCUUAGGCGCUCCUUCCUAUUCCUUUUUUUA
RNAcentral lists this microRNA precursor (172 nucleotides) under Triticum aestivum (bread wheat). RNAcentral describes it as "MIR2118 microRNA precursor family". It matches the Rfam family "MIR2118 microRNA precursor family". Lineage: Eukaryota; Viridiplantae; Streptophyta; Magnoliopsida; Poales; Poaceae. The record is from Rfam by way of RNAcentral.